Molecule: ribosomal RNA, 245 nt
Filed under: uncultured bacterium
Lineage: Bacteria
Description: partial 16S ribosomal RNA
Rfam family: Bacterial small subunit ribosomal RNA
Source: RNAcentral
UACGAAGGGGGCUAGCGUUGUUCGGAAUUACUGGGCGUAAAGGGCGCGUAGGCGGCUCUGCAAGUCGGGUGUGAAAUCCCAUGGCUCAACCAUGGAAGUGCACUCGAAACUGCAGGGCUAGAGUCCUGGAGAGGAAGGUGGAAUGCUUGGUGUAGAGGUGAAAUUCGUAGAUAUCAAGCGGAACACCGGUGGCGAAGGCGGCCUUCUGGACAGUGACUGACGCUGAGACGCGAAAGCGGUGGGGA